GACGAACGCUGGCGGCGUGCCUAAUACAUGCAAGUAGAACGCUGAAGAGAGGAGCUUGCUCUUCUUGGAUGAGUUGCGAACGGGUGAGUAACGCGUAGGUAACCUGCCUUGUAGCGGGGGAUAACUAUUGGAAACGAUAGCUAAUACCGCAUAACAAUGGAUGACACAUGUCAUUUAUUUGAAAGGGGCAAUUGCUCCACUACAAGAUGGACCUGCGUUGUAUUAGCUAGUAGGUGAGGUAACGGCUCACCUAGGCGACGAUACAUAGCCGACCUGAGAGGGUGAUCGGCCACACUGGGACUGAGACACGGCCCAGACUCCUACGGGAGGCAGCAGUAGGGAAUCUUCGGCAAUGGGGGCAACCCUGACCGAGCAACGCCGCGUGAGUGAAGAAGGUUUUCGGAUCGUAAAGCUCUGUCGUAAGAGAAGAACGAGUGUGAGAGUGGAAAGUUCACACUGUGACGGUAUCUUACCAGAAAGGGACGGCUAACUACGUGCCAGCAGCCGCGGUAAUACGUAGGUCCCGAGCGUUGUCCGGAUUUAUUGGGCGUAAAGCGAGCGCAGGCGGUUAGAUAAGUCUGAAGUUAAAGGCUGUGGCUUAACCAUAGUACGCUUUGGAAACUGUUUAACUUGAGUGCAAGAGGGGAGAGUGGAAUUCCAUGUGUAGCGGUGAAAUGCGUAGAUAUAUGGAGGAACACCGGUGGCGAAAGCGGCUCUCUGGCUUGUAACUGACGCUGAGGCUCGAAAGCGUGGGGAGCAAACAGG
RNAcentral lists this ribosomal RNA (765 nucleotides) under uncultured Streptococcus sp. RNAcentral's name for it is "bacterial SSU rRNA". It matches the Rfam family "Bacterial small subunit ribosomal RNA", at positions 28 to 776 of the family's 1533-position model. Lineage: Bacteria; Bacillati; Bacillota; Bacilli; Lactobacillales; Streptococcaceae. The record is from RNAcentral.